AUGAGUGUCCUAGCUUGGAACUGCCGCGGCGCUGGCAAACCGGCGACAGUUCGAGAGCUUCGCGAUAUGGCGAGGCAGUUUGCCCCCUCGAUUCUCUGCAUCUUAGAAACCCAGAUCGAGGGAUCUCGAGUAGAGAGUUUGUCUAGUACUUUAAAUUUUGAUAAUAGUUUUGCAGUUAGUAGCACUGGUAGGAGUGGUGGUCUUGGCAUUUUUUGGAAUAAUUCAAUAAAGGUAGAAAUUGUUGGUUACUCGGAGUAUCAUAUUGAUGUGUUGGUUGAUGAUCUAGUUGACACUAGAACACGGGUGACGUUUGUUUAUGGAGAAGCGCAGGUUCCGGAGAGGUACAAAACUUGGGACAUGCUCCGAGGCAUUGCAAGCAAUAGCAAUCUCCCCUGA
Molecule: ribosomal RNA, 396 nt
Filed under: Triticum aestivum (bread wheat)
Lineage: Eukaryota; Viridiplantae; Streptophyta; Magnoliopsida; Poales; Poaceae
Description: partial small subunit ribosomal RNA
Source: RNAcentral